RNAcentral lists this ribosomal RNA (350 nucleotides) under Klebsiella pneumoniae. Its description in RNAcentral is "bacterial SSU rRNA". It matches the Rfam family "Bacterial small subunit ribosomal RNA", at positions 488 to 838 of the family's 1533-position model. The record is from RNAcentral. Lineage: Bacteria; Pseudomonadati; Pseudomonadota; Gammaproteobacteria; Enterobacterales; Enterobacteriaceae.
ACGCAGCGGAUAUCCGCGCCUCCACAGCGCGGUGAUAGGGGGGGGGCAAGACGUUAUCGGAAUUGAGGGGGUAAAACGCAUAGAGGGAGAGUGUGUAAGGUGGAUGUGGAAAUACCGGGGGUUAACCUGGAGUCUGCAUUGGGAAAUGGGAAGAUAGAGUUUUGUGAGGGAGGUAGAAUUCCAGGUGUAGCGGUGAAAUGCGUAGAGAUUGGGAGGAACACCGGUGGAGAAGGCGGCUCUCUGGGCAAAUACGGAAGAUGAGGAGAGAAAGCGUGGGGAGCGAACAGGAUUAGAUACCGGGUAGUCCACGCUCGUAAAAGAUGUCGAUUUGGAGGGAGUGCCGUUGAGGA